UACGUAGGGGGCAAGCGUUAUCCGGAUUUAUUGGGCGUAAAGAGCGUGUAGGCGGCCAGGUAGGUCUGCUGUGAAAACUCGAGGCUCAACCUCGAGAUGUCGGCGGAAACCAUCUGGCUAGAGUCCGGAAGAGGAGAGUGGAAUUCCUGGUGUAGCGGUGAAAUGCGCAGAUAUCAGGAAGAACACCCGUGGCGAAGGCGGCUCUCUGGGACGGUACUGACGCUGAGACGCGAAAGCGUGGGGAGCGAACAGG
This 253-nucleotide ribosomal RNA is filed under the name uncultured bacterium. RNAcentral's name for it is "partial 16S ribosomal RNA". It matches the Rfam family "Bacterial small subunit ribosomal RNA", at positions 524 to 776 of the family's 1533-position model. The record is from RNAcentral.